RNAcentral lists this ribosomal RNA (101 nucleotides) under Sinocyclocheilus grahami. The record is from RNAcentral. Lineage: Eukaryota; Metazoa; Chordata; Actinopteri; Cypriniformes; Cyprinidae.
AGAUAUGGCUACAUAUCUAUGGUUGCCCACUGAAGCUAAGCUGGGCUGAACCUGGUCAGUACCUGGAUGGGAGACCUCCUGGGGAAACUAGGUUGCUGCUG